GGGGCUCUGAAGCACCGCUACCCUGUGGUUGCCGAAAGGAAAAGGGGCCUGCGCACACGUGGUGUGUGGUGAGGGGCUGUGCGGGCAGGGGAGACACAGCUCACCCGGGAAGGCCAGGGGUGCGUGACGAGAAGCUGACAGAAAGUGGUGCUCAGUGUGUGGAAAAGAAGCGAACGUGGCUUGCAUGGGGCCUCCAGGCUCACUGCGAGAAGAUGAGCGCAGCCUAGCCGUGAGGCAGCACUGCUCAGGGACGUGCGUUGGAAAGCACGAUUCUCUACAAUUCCUACACCACUUCAAACAAGAAAGAAUUCCGUUGAAGCAUACCAAGGGGAGGGCCCACUGACGUCCGGAUUGGUAACUUCUGUGAGGGCGUGCUCUUUGUACAGCCGGGUCACUGGGCUGCGGCAGUUGCAACGCCUCGAGGGCUCCUGGAGCAAAGUCCCUGAGAAGCUGCAAAUAGAGCGUUUGUAGAGCCGGACGGGGAUCAGGCCGGGCUGGUUGCACGGUGAAGAACCCCAGAGGACAGAAAGCAGCACGUGGAUUAAGGUACCUUCCAGAGCUUUGCUUUAAAAAGAUUUUAAAGGUUGCUCUCGUUCCCAGCCGGCUUCCCA
This 611-nucleotide long non-coding RNA is filed under the name Gallus gallus (chicken). RNAcentral's name for it is "long non-coding RNA NONGGAT008671". Lineage: Eukaryota; Metazoa; Chordata; Aves; Galliformes; Phasianidae. The record is from RNAcentral.